GUACGAAUGAUGUACAAUUACUAAAAUAUGGAAUUAUUUGUAAUAAUUAAGACUAUUUAAUUAAGGGAUUAAUAUGGAUAUCACAAUAAAAGCAUUAUUGCAUAAGAAUGCCAUGACAAAUGAUAUUAGAGAUAUAAAAAUAUAUAUGUAUAUAUUUUAUCGAAUGGAAUCUAUAUUAACAAGGAUAAUUGAAUUGGAAUCAAUAGGAAUUAACAGGACCGUGUGUCACUCUUUAACUACUAAAUAAACCAGCAGUUGCAGUUCAAUUACAUGUUAAUGGGAUGACUUACUUCUUAUCUGUAGGCAGAUGCAGAUGAAUUAAAAGCUGGUGUUAAGGAGUGUCUCGCAUAAGAUUCCUCGCUGACGUUAAAUUGUCUUUUAAACGAAACAAGUGUUCCAAGUUAUGACAGAGAAUCCUCAUUUUUUUAUGCUCCAAAUGAGUAGUUCUUGACUUCAUUUGCUUAGAUGAAAGUGAUUCCAUACUUUAAUGUUUCAUUAAAAGGACGAAUCCUACCAUGGACAAUAAGCAGUAAGAAGUGUGGAACUCGAUGUGUAAAAUAAAUUUACAAUUUUCAACGUGACAUAUUACGCAAACACAUAUGAAUGUUUAUAGAAUGUCUGUUUUUCUGGGUUACUGAAUGAACUCCAGCAAUUAUAGCUAUAGUUAUUUGGAAACUGAAGAGAAUACGGAUAUAUUAUUGUUAACACCAAUAUGUGUUAUAUUUCAAGGCAAAGAUAUUGGAAAAAAAUGUUGAUGGAAUGUACGCAUAUAUGCCUAUAUGCUAUAAUUAAGGAUUAUAGUUAAUUGACUCCAUGUGUUGGUGAUCACCUUUUGGUUGUUGUGUCUUUACCUAUGAUCGAAAUAAAUAAGAAUGAUGAAAAUACUUAAUUAUAGAU
This is a long non-coding RNA of Teleopsis dalmanni, 897 nucleotides long. RefSeq lists it as uncharacterized. The transcript is spliced from 3 exons. The record is from RefSeq and is a predicted model, not a curated record. NCBI's taxonomy places the organism in Eukaryota, Metazoa, Arthropoda, Insecta, Diptera, Diopsidae.